This 292-nucleotide long non-coding RNA is filed under the name Oryzias sinensis (Chinese medaka). RNAcentral's name for it is "lncRNA (ENSOSIG00000016316.1)". The record is from RNAcentral. Lineage: Eukaryota; Metazoa; Chordata; Actinopteri; Beloniformes; Adrianichthyidae.
UGAUUGGUGCUUGUUUUCUGUAAUAACUAGAAGUUUCACAACUCUUUGUCUCUCAAUGAUCAGGGGGAAAGAGGAGCAUCUGGCUUGGAUGGACGUCCUGGUCUGGAUGGAAAGUCUGGCCCACCAGGACCACCUGGACAAAGAGUACCUCGAGAUUUUACAAAUUUGUUUAAACUUAAUAAUUUGUUAUUUCAAUUUAAUUCAAAAUGUUGGCUCUUUUGAUAUGUUUUCUGUUUGCAGGGAGAUCCUGGUAAACAGGGAGACUCAGGAAGAGAUGGAUUACCAGGACUAA